Molecule: ribosomal RNA, 497 nt
Filed under: uncultured bacterium
Lineage: Bacteria
Description: partial 16S ribosomal RNA
Rfam family: Bacterial small subunit ribosomal RNA
Source: RNAcentral
GAUGAACGCUGGCGGCGUGCCUAAUACAUGCAAGUCGAGCGAACGGACGAGAAGCUUGCUUCUCUGAUGUUAGCGGCGGACGGGUGAGUAACACGUGGAUAACCUACCUAUAAGACUGGGAUAACUUCGGGAAACCGGAGCUAAUACCGGAUGAUAUUUUGAACCGCAUGGUUCAAAAGUGAAAGACGGUCUUGCUGUCACUUAUAGAUGGAUCCGCGCUGCAUUAGCUAGUUGGUAAGGUAACGGCUUACCAAGGCAACGAUGCAUAGCCGACCUGAGAGGGUGAUCAGCCACACUGGAACUGAGACACGGUCCAGACUCCUACGGGAGGCAGCAGUAGGGAAUCUUCCGCAAUGGGCGAAAGCCUGACGGAGCAACGCCGCGUGAGUGAUGAAGGUCUUCGGAUCGUAAAACUCUGUUAUUAGGGAAGAACAUAUGUGUAAGUAACUGCGCACAUCUUGACGGUACCUAAUCAGAAAGCCACGGCUAACUACGUG